CUUUAAGUUCUGGGAUACAUGUGCAGAAUGUGCAGGUUUGUUACAUAGGUAUACGUGCCAUGGUCAUUUGCUGCACCUAGCAACCCAUCAUCUAGGUUUUAAGCCCCACAUGCAUUAGAUAUUUAUCCUAAUGCUCUCCCUCCCCUUGCCCCCCAUCUCCGACAGGCCCCAGUGUGUGAUGUUCCCUUCCCCAAAGUAUUUUCUUAUUCAGAGUAGUUGCUUCUAAUUUAUUUAAGAUUUUUAUAGUUUAGUUAAGUGAAGCAUUUGUUGAUUACACAAAACAUGUUAUUGAUAUUUGUAUCACAUAUGCACAUUUUUUUCCUUUUAAGUAUGAUAUACUGUGUUCUCAGCAAUUAUUUCAUUAUUGUUUCUCUGCAACCCUUUCUUCAAUGGUACUAAGCAAGACACAUCUGGUGAGGCCUACUUUCUAUGUUGUGGCAUAAAAGUAUGUAUUGAAGCUUUAGUAGAGAUUUCAAAAAUGGUUGGGUGGUAGCAAAUUACUAAGAACUCUCAAAGUUUCUAAAGCCUUAGUUCCAGCUUGCUAGAAAACCGAUGUUGAGUAUUAUGGCUAGUUCCAUAGUUGAGUUGGAAAAUGUCUUCCAGGAGACACUUUUUCACUUUGUAUUCAUCUGUAUAUUUUUUAUUACUUGCAUUCUGUCAUGCUCAGGCUAUUAGAGCAGGUACAUUUUUAUAACUGGAAUGUUUAUGUGUAGUGAAGCUCUGAGAGGACUUUGCAUUAGAUCUCAGCAGCAUAAUCAGAAGCUUGUCCUUUGUCUCAGCAAUUUUUAAGCUAAUAGUAGCAGAAAUUGCAGUGGAAAUAGACUGCUUUGCCACAACAUUCAGAAAAUCAUUUAUCUUUUUAUUGCAGUUCUUGUCACCAAACAAUACAUUUUAGUAUUUCUCAAAUUGCAGAACUCUCAUAGGGCUGGGAAAAUGCCUGUAGACACAUACAUACUAUGAAUGUGCUAAUGUUUUUUGUAUUUUCAUAGCCCAUCAAAGCUCCUGAGUCAGUUUCCACUAUAAUCACCGCAGAAUCAAUCUUCUACAAGGGAGUAUAUUACCAAAUUGGUGAUGUUGUUUCUGUGAUUGAUGAACAAGAUGGAAAGCCCUACUACGCUCAAAUCAGAGGUUUUAUCCAGGACCAGUAUUGCGAGAAGAGUGCAGCACUGACGUGGCUCAUUCCUACCCUCUCUAGCCCCAGAGACCAAUUUGAUCCCGCCUCCUAUAUCAUAGGGCCAGAGGAAGAUCUUCCAAGGAAGAUGGAAUACUUGGAAUUUGUUUGUCAUGCACCUUCUGAGUAUUUCAAGUCACGGUCAUCACCAUUUCCCACAGUUCCCACCAGACCAGAGAAGGGCUACAUAUGGACUCAUGUUGGGCCUACUCCUGCAAUAACAAUUAAGGAAACAGUUGCCAACCAUUUGUAGUUCACAAAUUAAAACUGGGUUUCCAGGCCUGGUGUGGUAGCUCACGCCUGUAGCCCCAGCUAUUGCACCACUGCUCUCCAAGCUGGGCAAUGGAGUCAGAUUCUCUCUCUUAAAAAACCACAAAAAAACUGGAUUUCCAGUUCUCUAAUAUUCUUAGUACCACAAGAUGUGUCAUAGGUAUCUUUAAAUGAAAUUCUUAGCUGGAAAAGUGACUAAAAAGUUUUUUUCCUACUACCUAGUAAUCAUUAGAUUGUUUACUACUGGUCACUUAGAAAAUUAAAAGGGAUAAGGCCAGGUACAGUGGCUUAUGCCUGUAAUCCCAGCACUUUGGGAGGCCGAGGCAGGCAGAUCACCUGAGGUCAGGAAGUGGAUCGCCUGAGGUCAGGAGUUCGAGACUAGCCUGGCCAACAUGGCGAAACCCCGUCUCUACUAAAAAUACAAAAAUUAGCCAGGUGUGGUGGCAUGUGCCUGUAAUCCCAGCUAUUUGGGAGGCUGAGGCAGGAGAAUCGCCUAAACCCAGGAGGUGGAGGUUGCAGUGAGCCAAGAUUGCACCGCUGUGCUCCAGCCUGGGCAACAGAGUGAGACUCUUGUCUCGA
RNAcentral lists this small RNA (2020 nucleotides) under Pongo abelii (Sumatran orangutan). RNAcentral describes it as "retained intron". The record is from RNAcentral. Lineage: Eukaryota; Metazoa; Chordata; Mammalia; Primates; Hominidae.